GAGUUUGAUCCUGGCUCAGGAUGAACGCUAGCGGGAGGCCUAAUACAUGCAAGUCGAACGGUAACAGGGUAGCAAUACUGCUGACGAGUGGCGCACGGGUGAGUAACACGUACACAAUCUGCCUUAUACUGGAGCAUAGCCUUGGGAAACUAAGAUUAACUCUCCAUAACAUAGUGAAGCGGCAUCGCUUUAUUAUUAAAUCUCCGGAGGUAUAAGAUGAGUGUGCGUCUGAUUAGCUAGUUGGUAAGGUAACGGCUUACCAAGGCAACGAUCAGUAGCUGGUCUGAGAGGAUGAUCAGCCACACGGGCACUGAGACACGGGCCCGACUCCUACGGGAGGCAGCAGUAGGGAAUAUUGGACAAUGGGCGAAAGCCUGAUCCAGCCAUCCCGCGUGAAGGAUUAAGGCCCUAUGGGUUGUAAACUUCUUUUCUCUGGGAAUAAAAAGUGGGAUUCAUCCCGCCUUGAAGGUACCAGAGGAAUAAGCACCGGCUAACUCCGUGCCAGCAGCCGCGGUAAUACGGAGGGUGCAAGCGUUAUCCGGAUUCACUGGGUUUAAAGGGUGCGUAGGUGGCUUUGUAAGUCAGUGGUGAAAGCCCGGAGCUCAACUCCGGAACUGCCAUUGAUACUGCUUAGCUUGAAUCACGUCGAGGUGGAUGGAAUAUUACAUGUAGCGGUGAAAUGCUUAGAUAUGUAAUAGAACACCGAUUGCGAAGGCAGUUCACUAGGCGUGUAUUGACACGGAGGCACGAAAGCGUGGGGAUCAAACAGGAUUAGAUACCCUGGUAGUCCACGCCGUAAACGUUGGGCGCUAGGUGUGGGGGACCUUCCACGGCCUCCGUGCCGCAGCUAACGCAUUAAGCGCCCCGCCUGGGGAGUACGGCCGCAAGGCUAAAACUCAAAGGAAUUGACGGGGGCCCGCACAAGCGGCGGUGCAUGUGGCUUAAUUCGAUGCAACGCGAAGAACCUUACCAGGGCUUGACAUGCGGGGAAAUCCAUCAGAGAUGGUGGGUCCUUAGGGGUCCCGCACAGGUGGUGCAUGGCUGUCGUCAGCUCGUGUCGUGAGAUGUUGGGUUAAGUCCCGCAACGAGCGCAACCCUUGUCCUAUGUUGCCAGCGGUUCGGCCGGGGACUCAUAGGAGACUGCCGGGGUCAACUCGGAGGAAGGUGGGGAUGACGUCAAGUCAUCAUGCCCCUUACGUCCUGGGCUGCACACAUGCUACAAUGGCCGGUACAAUGGGCUGCGAUACCGUGAGGUGGAACGAAUCCCAAAAAGCCGGUCUCAGUUCGGAUCGGGGUCUGCAACUCGACCCCGUGAAGUCGGAGUCGCUAGUAAUCGCAGAUCAGCAUUGCUGCGGUGAAUACGUUCCCGGGCCUUGUACACACCGCCCGUCACGUCAUGAAAGUCGGUAACACCCGAAGCCGGUGGCCCAACCCUUGUGGAGGGAGCCGUCGAAGGUGGGACCGGCGAUUAGGACGAAGUCGUAAACAGGUAGCCGU
RNAcentral lists this ribosomal RNA (1497 nucleotides) under uncultured bacterium. RNAcentral's name for it is "partial 16S rRNA". It matches the Rfam family "Bacterial small subunit ribosomal RNA". The record is from RNAcentral.